AGUGAACGCUGGCGGUAGGCCUAACACAUGCAAGUCGAACGGCAGCACAGUAAGAGCUUGCUCUUACGGGUGGCGAGUGGCGGACGGGUGAGGAAUACAUCGGAAUCUACUUUUUCGUGGGGGAUAACGUAGGGAAACUUACGCUACUACCGCAUACGACCUACGGGUGAAAGCAGGGGAUCUUCGGACCUUGCGCGAUUGAAUGAGCCGAUGUCGGAUUAGCUAGUUGGCGGGGUAAAGGCCCACCAAGGCGACGAUCCGUAGCUGGUCUGAGAGGAUGAUCGGCCACACUGGAACUGAGACACGGUCCAGACUCCUACGGGAGGCAGCAGUGGGGAAUAUUGGACAAUGGGCGCAAGCCUGAUCCAGCCAUACCGCGUGGGUGAAGAAGGCCUUCGGGUUGUAAAGCCCUUUUGUUGGGAAAGAAAAGCAGCAGGUUAAUACCCCGCUGUUCUGACGGUACCCAAAGAAUAAGCACCGGCUAACUUCGUG
RNAcentral lists this ribosomal RNA (492 nucleotides) under uncultured bacterium. Its description in RNAcentral is "partial 16S ribosomal RNA". It matches the Rfam family "Bacterial small subunit ribosomal RNA", at positions 29 to 507 of the family's 1533-position model. The record is from RNAcentral.